AAUUGCUCGGUUUCUCCGCUUUAGUCAUAACUACAGCGGAGAAACUGAGCAAUUCC
RNAcentral lists this microRNA precursor (56 nucleotides) under Heliconius melpomene (postman butterfly). Its description in RNAcentral is "Hme-Novel-3_pre stem-loop". The record is from RNAcentral. Lineage: Eukaryota; Metazoa; Arthropoda; Insecta; Lepidoptera; Nymphalidae.